GUGAGCUUAGCGUAGUGGUCUAUCGUGUGAGCUUCAGGAGUCCCACCCUCCUCCGUUUGAGAGAGAGAGUGAGAUGAACGCUCAAGGUCGAGGGUUCGACCCCCUCAGUUCACA
Violaceomyces palustris is the source of this 114-nucleotide non-coding RNA. The record is from the annotation of a GenBank genome assembly. Lineage: Eukaryota; Fungi; Basidiomycota; Ustilaginomycetes; Violaceomycetales; Violaceomycetaceae.